This is a long non-coding RNA of Equus quagga, 1983 nucleotides long. RefSeq lists it as uncharacterized. The record is from RefSeq and is a predicted model, not a curated record. The transcript has 2 exons. NCBI's taxonomy places the organism in Eukaryota, Metazoa, Chordata, Mammalia, Perissodactyla, Equidae.
GCAAGUCUGUUUCCGCCCGGCCUCCGCCUGCUCCGGCUGGAACGAGUCUUUCCGGUGGGGCUGCCCAGCCCGGUCCGCCCCGCCCGGCCUCCCGGAACCACGCGGAGACGCGCACGGCCCCGCCCAGGCCGAAAGCGAGCUCCGCGGGCGGGCCGCAGGGCGGGGCCGCUGGGGCGGGAGGGCCCGGGGCGUGUUCCCGCCGGGGCUGCGGGCCUCCGGGGCACCCUGACAACAGGAGAAACUGAGGCACAAACAGACUGUCUCAAGGCCGCACUAGGAGUUAGCAAACCACAGGGGCGCCCAGUGAAAGCCUGCGACGAGUGGCCUGACAGAGGCCGGGAUUUUCCCAGGCCCUGAGUCCUGGGGGUCUGAAGAGGACCAGAGGGGCUGGGGACUCCUGAAGGCCUGGGCGCCCACUUCCGGGACAUCUCCGCCGGGUGGAACGAGCCGGAUCGCCGCGAGGGUCCCCGGCCUCACGAAAUUAAUGAGGAAGAUGCCUUUCCUCAAUGGAGGAGGAGAGAUUCCGUUUAACCUCUGCAGACAGCAAGACAGGGACCACUCUCCCCUCAAGCCUGGCGGCAGCAUGGACUUGAGAGCACAUUAACAGGAGCCAGGAAUUGGAGGGUCUUCUCAAACUUGGCAACCGACGUUGAAUUGCCUGAGCUGGAGCUCAGGAUGACCGACCCAUGUCUUGCUCUGACUUUGCACAUCUCAGUUCUCACUUAUCUGUUCAAGAAAUAUUAUUGAGGACCUUCAUUCUGCUUGAGCUUCUGAAAUUAUGGAUCUCAAACUCUAGAUUAGAAAAUGACAAAGAAGCCAUGAAAUGGAAGGGUAGAAGGCUUUGCAGAAGAACCGAUGUUUGUUAUGAGUCCUGACAGAUGAAAAGGAGUUCCCUCGGUGGUGUCAGUUCAUCUUCUGUAAGAUAACAUGGUUAAACUAGAUCUACAAGAGGACUCAUUUAGUCCUAAUAGAUUCCGUGUUUAUGACCCGCCUGUAACCAAUUUUUUUCUUCUGUGUGUAUCCCUCUAGGGAGUUGAGAGACCUCCAUUGACUUCCUGUCAUCAUCUCUUAUUUUGGUAGCUGAAGCAAUCCAACUUGAGCUUUUGGUCUUGAAUUUCCCAGUUGUGUUUGGAAGCCAAAGCAUUGUCACAUUAGCUCAUCUAUAAUCUUCUUAGGGAAUGGUCUCUUGAGCUCACAGAUUUAUUUCCAUCCAUCCAGUUCCCGAGGCAUUUCACUUAGUAACCUUAGUGGUACAUUUGCUGGUAAUUAUGCCCAGCCUUGGUCAUAAAGCCCGUUUGCUCAACAACAAGAUGUGAGUGCCUGCAGUCAAUACUCUCAGCCUUCCCAACUGCUCUUGUCUUCCCUCUCUUCCUCUAGGACACGCAGCUCAGGAUACAACAUGCAGCCAGGACUUCGAUUAACUAGGAUCCUGAUACUCUGCCACAACAGGUCAAAUUUCGUGCUUUGAUGGCCUUUUCAUCCAUGGGACAGGAGCCAGCUGCUAGGGCAAAGCUUGAAACAGCAGUGGUCAUCUGACAAGUAGUUGGCUAAUUACCUAUCUAUUCUGCUAUGGAAAAUUAUGGGGUUUUUUUAUCUUCUCAAUUUUUAUGGAUGUUUGCACUGUAAAAGAACAAUUUGUGAAACUUUUAGAGAAGUAAGAUAACAGUCUUCAAAUUUGGUUGCUGUAUGUUCAUUGAGUGAGUUUGCCUGCGCUAUGAUGCAGUCAGACACACUGUCUUCUUAGGAACCUGGCAAGUAUCUUGCAGUGUGAUCCAGAGCCUGGUGGAGGGCUUGGAAUGCUAGGGACUCCCCUAAUUCUCGCUGCUAUAAAGCAAAGGUACACUUCACUGUGGUAAAAAAUAUUGGGAAGUUAGCUGUUAUAUAUUGUAUGUUUCCAGUGACUGACUGCUCCAAAGCUUCUUAUACUAAUUUAAUUAGAAUAAUUUACCUUAAUAGAAAACUAUAAUUUUCUACUUUUUCCAA